UCCGUAGGUGGAUAAUUAAGUCAGAUGUGAAAGCCCCGGGCUCAACCUGGGAAGUGCAUUGGAAACUGGCAAACUUGAGUACGGGAGAGGGAAGUGGAAUUUCGAGUGUAGGGGUGAAAUCCGUAGAUAUUCGAAGGAACACCAGUGGCGAAGGCGGCUUCCUGGACCGAUACUGACGCUGAGACGCGAAAGCGUGGGGAGCAAACAGGAUUAGAUACCCUGGUAGUCC
Molecule: ribosomal RNA, 229 nt
Filed under: uncultured bacterium
Lineage: Bacteria
Description: partial 16S ribosomal RNA
Rfam family: Bacterial small subunit ribosomal RNA
Source: RNAcentral